Molecule: non-coding RNA, 189 nt
Filed under: Hyphomonas neptunium
Lineage: Bacteria; Pseudomonadati; Pseudomonadota; Alphaproteobacteria; Hyphomonadales; Hyphomonadaceae
Also listed under: 1 other name
Source: RNAcentral
ACAUCAACCCCAUCAGAUGGUGCUCCCCUGACAGGGAGCUAAGAGGGAAGCCGGUGUAAAUCCGGCGCUGUACCCGCAACUGUUAGCCGGGAGCUGAUGGCCACUAUGCCACUGGAACGCGAGUUCUGGGAAGGCGGCCAAAGGCGACGAUCGGUGAGCCAGGAGACCUGCCAUCGCGUCGUUUGUCCG